GCAUAACGCGAAGAACCUUACCCGGGCUUGAAAUGCGGCGGACCGGGCAGAGAGAUCUGCCUUCCCUUCGGGGCCGCCGUGUAGGUGCUGCAUGGUUGUCGUCAGCUCGUGCCGUGAGGUGUCGGCUUAAGUGCCAUAACGAGCGCAACCCUCAUCAUUAGUUACUAACAGGUCAUGCUGAGGACUCUAGUGAGACUGCCAUCGUAAGAUGCGAGGAAGGGUGGGGAUGACGUACAAAUCAGCACGGCCCUUACGUCCGGGGCGACACACGUGUUACAAUGGGUGGUACAAAGGGCAGCUACCUGGCGACAGGAUGCUAAUCUCCAAAACCACUCUCAGUUCGGAUCGGAGUCUGCAACUCGACUCCGUGAAGCUGGAUUCGCUAGUAAUCGCGCAUCAGCCACGGCGCGGUGAAUACGUUCCCGGGUCUUGUACACACCG
RNAcentral lists this ribosomal RNA (441 nucleotides) under uncultured bacterium. RNAcentral describes it as "bacterial SSU rRNA". It matches the Rfam family "Bacterial small subunit ribosomal RNA", at positions 954 to 1392 of the family's 1533-position model. The record is from RNAcentral.